Molecule: transfer RNA, 72 nt
Filed under: Candidatus Amesiibacteriota bacterium
Lineage: Bacteria; Candidatus Amesiibacteriota
Description: Candidatus Amesbacteria bacterium tRNA-Glu
Rfam family: tRNA
About the family: Transfer RNA (tRNA) molecules are approximately 80 nucleotides in length.
Source: RNAcentral
GGCUCGAUCGUCUAACGGUUAGGACGCGAGGUUUUCAUCCUCGCAACCGGGGUCCGACUCCCCGUCGAGUCA